UGAAACCGACAGCUUUUCAGCUAUCUUUAAAGUGAAGCGUUCUGCUAGCUAGCAAUCUUUCUCCUUACAAUCGUAUCUUUUAUCGAAUGACAAUCAAAAUCUGAGAAAAUAGGACUGCCGUUUCUUACCGUAUAUAUCAUGUAAAAUAAUGUCUGUUUUUAGUUGUCAAUUCCCGGCUAUUCAACAACCGCGCCAAAAAACAGAAGUGGUCACAGAGUCUGGCCAAUAGGAAACGAGCUACGAGAAGGAGUGCAUGUUUUAAUGUACAGUAACGUUUGUCCGGACGGGGUUGUGUGUAUUUAUCCACGAUUUUGUCAUUUACUGUAACACUGUUUGAUGACAGAGAAUGUCAGAUAGCCUUGAUAUUAGCAAUUUGAGUACUGACCUAAAACAUUCGUAAAAUAAGCAUGAGUAUUGCUCGUCGGAUUUGCUGCCGCCUUCCAGGUAGAUCCUUUAAACUAUAUUUAACGUCACCUACGCUGGUCCCUCCCCCCCCGGUACCUCCUAGACUGUCUGGAAAGUUCUCUGCCCUUCUUUAAGCGUCUGUGAGAUGCCAGAUUGCAGGAUAACGUGGACUGAAGGCAACAUUGCGUAAACCUCGUAUUAUAAGCCGAUAGCAGCGUGACUGGUGAACUAUAGCAAAGGACCUCUGUUGCUAGUUGGAAGUUGUGCUGUAUUCUCGAGGAAGUUAAGCCAGCUAGUAAACGUUGAUCAGGUUAUUGCUUGCAGCACUUGAUCUGAGGAGUAGUAGGGGCUUUAGCCACCGUCACUAUUAGCCAGUGUUAGUUUGGAUUGUUGUGCAAGGCAGAGAAGGGACAGAUCAGCUUCAUGACGAUGACUGCAGAGGAACAAACAAGUGAAGUACAACAUACAAUCCCCCUGGAAGGAGAGGACAUCACACCAAAGAAAGAUGGGGGUGUUUUAAAGGUGAUCAAAAGGGAAGGUACAGGCACAGAACUGCCUAUGUCCGGCGACAAAGUGUUUGUACAUUAUGUGGGCACACUUCUGGACGGGACUCAUUUUGACUCCAGUAGAGACAGAGGAGAGAAGUUUUCCUUUGAGUUGGGCAAAGG
This is a long non-coding RNA of Haplochromis burtoni (Burton's mouthbrooder), 1073 nucleotides long. RefSeq lists it as uncharacterized. The transcript has 2 exons. Lineage: Eukaryota; Metazoa; Chordata; Actinopteri; Cichliformes; Cichlidae. The record is from RefSeq and is a predicted model, not a curated record.